GGGGGCGUUAGGUUUCGACAGGAGACUUGGACGCUGAUUGGAUGCAUGUCGGGCUUACCUCUUUGCAGCUCGUUAAAAAGCACUGGGGAAAAACAACUGCCAAUACAAAUGAAUUGGCCCUUGCUGCCUAAUUAGGCUUUCGCAAGCGUCUCCGCCGCAAGUUGCUCAUGCGCGCGGAUGGAGAUGUCACACGAGAUGAGCUAGCCUGCCGUUCGUAAUCAGGGGCAGCGGGCGAAGCAAAACUGGUUUAGCUGCAGAGGGGUCUUCGUCGUUUCACUUACCCGACGGCAGCGAACGCGGAUGUAGAAUCCAAAGGAGAAGCGACUAAGCAUGUAGAUUCCGUCCGCGCCGUUUCUUGGACGCGAGUUCGAUUCUCGCCGCCUCCAUUG
Molecule: transfer-messenger RNA, 389 nt
Filed under: Pyrinomonadaceae
Lineage: Bacteria; Pseudomonadati; Acidobacteriota; Blastocatellia; Blastocatellales
Also listed under: 1 other name
Description: JACCYN01 sp013696465 Standard tmRNA
Rfam family: transfer-messenger RNA
About the family: Bacterial tmRNA, also known as 10Sa RNA or SsrA, is named for its dual tRNA and mRNA-like properties. Its role is to liberate the mRNA from a stalled ribosome.
Source: RNAcentral